Molecule: ribosomal RNA, 465 nt
Filed under: uncultured bacterium
Lineage: Bacteria
Description: partial 16S ribosomal RNA
Rfam family: Bacterial small subunit ribosomal RNA
Source: RNAcentral
CUACGGGAUGCUCCAGUGGGGAAUAUUGCACAAUGGGCGCAAGCCUGAUGCAGCCAUGCCGCGUGUAUGAAGAAGGCCUUCGGGUUGUAAAGUACUUUCAGCGGGGAGGAAGGGAGUAAAGUUAAUACCUUUGCUCAUUGACGUUACCCGCAGAAGAAGCACCGGCUAACUCCGUGCCAGCAGCCGCGGUAAUACGGGAGGGUGCGAGCGUUAAUCGGAAUUACUGGGCGUAAAGCGCACGCAGGCGGUUUGUUAAGUCAGAUGUGAAAUCCCCGGGCUCAACCUGGGAACUGCAUCUGAUACUGGCAAGCUUGAGUCUCGUAGAGGGGGGUAGAAUUCCAGGUGUAGCGGUGAAAUGCGUAGAGAUCUGGAGGAAUACCGGUGGCGAAGGCGGCCCCCUGGACGAAGACUGACGCUCAGGUGCGAAAGCGUGGGGAGCAAACAGGAUUAGAUACCCUGGUAGUC